This 908-nucleotide long non-coding RNA is filed under the name Nicotiana benthamiana. RNAcentral's name for it is "long non-coding RNA (NBEN_LNC003380)". The record is from RNAcentral. Lineage: Eukaryota; Viridiplantae; Streptophyta; Magnoliopsida; Solanales; Solanaceae.
AAAGAAUUUGUGCAGAAAUCACAUUGGAUAUUCCAGUACAACCAUUUCCUUACAUUGGCCUACACAAAUAACACAUUUACUAUGAAGGGGAAAACUUUUUAUAAAAAAAAUAUGGAAGACUUAGUCUCACAAUAAUAAGUUGUAGCUGUGCUCGAAAAUCUCAGAAAAAUACAAGCCCAUCUAAUGAUAAACCUAUUCAAUAAAAGGAGAACAUGGAGGAUGAAACAAUAUCUUUUUGCAAAGGAAGGAAAUAUAUGGAAAAAAACUCAUGACCACUCCUUACAAAUCCAAACAACCACCCAAAGAGCCCAGGUAUCUCGGUAAAUCUCUUUAAUGCCAAUAUUUGUAAGUUCUUAAACAAUCAAAUAUUUCAUUACAAACCAAAAGAAUCCACGAGUAUUCAUCUCCCUAGCAACACCAAGAUUGCUAUUAAUACUGAGCAAACCACUCUAACCAUGGAAAACCAGUUUUCCAUCCUACAAGAAGAGCAAAUGGUUUUAUAAGAUACCAAUAAUCUUCCAUUAAACAAUAAACUAAAAAUUAUUAAUCUCAAUAAACCUGCACAGUUUUCCUUACAUUACGAGACACUAGCCAUGCUGGAUUCAAAUGUGAAAAGAAAUUUUAUUAAAGAAAGAAAUAAUAGAAAACCUGCCAUGCAAAAUAACAUUCAACGGACAAAAGAUACCUCUUCUACUAAUGAUCAUUCUACAAACACUCUUAAGACACUAAACCAUAUUCUGGUAAUGAUCUUUCUUUAGACAAAAACCAAGAACAAAAUAUUUCCCUUGGAUAUGAUAGUAUAUCCUCCCCUAGGCAUGCAAGCCAAAUAGAAAAGAUUACUCAUAAUAAUGGACAAAUGUCCUAUGCCCUUGAGAAGAUCUUGAUACUGCAACUAUGGAGGAUAUCCA